GGGGGUGCACCGGUUUCGACUGGUAUGGUUCGGGGUGCAGGCUGCAGGCGGAGUGCCGACCUCCUAACAUUCGGCGCCAAUUUAAUUGCCGAUUACGACAAUUACGCUCUUGCCGCAUAGCGGCUGAACGCGGAAACCGUUCCCUUGCCUUGAGGGGCCGGACUUCCGUCGCAAACAAGGCUAAUCCCGCGCUGCGUUCUGACGGCGCGGGCCGAAAACAGACUCGGAAAUACGGAUGGGAUAGUGCGAGCCGCGCAGCCGCCCCUGUCCCGACAACGCUAAUGCGCGGCUAAACCUGUAGAGGCUUGUAUUUCGCGUAUCAGGACGCGGGUUCGACUCCCGCCACCUCCAACC
RNAcentral lists this transfer-messenger RNA (354 nucleotides) under Spirochaetaceae bacterium. It matches the Rfam family "transfer-messenger RNA". From Rfam's summary of the family: Bacterial tmRNA, also known as 10Sa RNA or SsrA, is named for its dual tRNA and mRNA-like properties. Its role is to liberate the mRNA from a stalled ribosome. To accomplish this part of the tmRNA is used as a reading frame that ends in a translation stop signal. Lineage: Bacteria; Pseudomonadati; Spirochaetota; Spirochaetia; Spirochaetales; Spirochaetaceae. The record is from RNAcentral.